Capsicum annuum is the source of this 1055-nucleotide long non-coding RNA. RefSeq lists it as uncharacterized. NCBI's taxonomy places the organism in Eukaryota, Viridiplantae, Streptophyta, Magnoliopsida, Solanales, Solanaceae. The record is from RefSeq and is a predicted model, not a curated record. The transcript is spliced from 3 exons.
AAUUCUACCCUACUCAGCCCCCCAUUCUUUACCCGAAUCGACCCAAAUUUCCCUAUAUCCCUUAACCUUUAUUGUUCAAGCUUCCAACAGAUAACAACAACAACAUUCAAAACAACAUAAAACGCCAACAACCAAUGGCGUCAACCAACACAACUCCAUACGAUGCCACCGUCUAAUCUCAUCCCUCUUUCGUGGUAGUCCGCAUGCCAUGCACGAGGGUCAUACACCCAGAACCUUCCAGGAAACCAUUUUCACUCUAUUUUCAAAAUUUAAAUUCAUCAAUUUCGUACAUAGAAGGUACAAUUCCAACUCGCCUAUCCUUAACUCUUAGCAAAUUCGAAAAAAACCCUUUUAAAAAUCUCCAAAAAGCCUUUGAAAUUCAGGAUCCCACAUUGUUAAAAUCACAGAAAUACCAUUUCAAAAACUCCAUAAAUAGAUCACUAUUCCUAUGUGAAAAUUCAAGAAUUGAUAGCAAAGAGCCCCAAUUUGUAAGAAAUUUCAGUUAUCAAAAGUGAUUUCAGCGCAAGGUUUCUCUGAGACUCAACUUUGAGCUUGAAAUUCUAGGCUACAAAAUUCUAGUGGCCUUUUCAGCAACUUUAAAGAAUCGAGAUCCAAAUGAAGCUUGUAGUCUCAGUUUGCUACUCCAUAAAAGGUUUAGACACUCCAUUUCCCGACUGCUCGUAGACAGCUUAGCGUACUCUGCAGCAAUAGUGAUUCGGAUGCUCAGUUUCCCGAUCGCUCUUAGACAUCUCAGUGUAGUCAGCAGCAGUAGUGGUGAGUCCUCAUCCAUCGAGAACAUGAUUUGUUUAUUUCAGUUACGUCAGCACUUUCUUAUGUUCAGUUAGUUAGAGUUAGUUGAGGGUUCUGUCUCAUCAACUCUUCAGUUAGUUUAGAGGCUUUCAGACAAUUAGACAGUCAGGCGGCAGUUAGUUAGUUACCAGAUCUUUCAGUUCUUUUUCGUCGUUCAGAUAGAUGUUUAGUUUUCAGUAUUUAUCAAAUGUUUUAGACUUGUGAUGUAAUCACAUCUCAGUAUUCAAAUUGGUAUUACUUUAGCA